This 1478-nucleotide ribosomal RNA is filed under the name metagenome. RNAcentral describes it as "bacterial SSU rRNA". It matches the Rfam family "Bacterial small subunit ribosomal RNA". The record is from RNAcentral.
AGAGUUUGAUCCUGGCUCAGGACGAACGCUGGCGGCGUGCUUAACACAUGCAAGUCGAACGGUGACAUCGGUGCUUGCACCGGUUGAUCAGUGGCGAACGGGUGAGUAACACGUGAGCAACCUGCCCCUGACUCUGGGAUAACUUCGGGAAACCGGAGCUAAUACCGGAUAUGAACUCUGACGGCAUCUUCAGGGUUGGAAAUAACUUCGGUCAGGGAUGGCUCGCGGCCUAUCAGCUUGUUGGUGGGGUAACGGCCCACCAAGGCGACGACGGGUAGCCGGCCUGAGAGGGCGACCGGCCACACUGGGACUGAGACACGGCCCAGACUCCUGCGGGAGGCAGCAGUGGGGAAUAUUGCACAAUGGGCGAAAGCCUGAUGCAGCGACGCCGCGUGAGGGAUGAAGGCCUUCGGGUUGUAAACCUCUUUCAGCAGGGAAGAAGCGAAAGUGACGGUACCUGCAGAAGAAGCACCGGCUAACUACGUGUCAGCAGCCGCGGUAAUACGUAGGGUGCAAGCGUUGUCCGGAAUUAUUGGGCGUAAAGAGCUCGUAGGCGGUCUGUCGCGUCUGCUGUGAAAACUCGGGGCUCAACCCCGGGCCUGCAGUGGGUACGGGCAGACUAGAGUGCGGUAGGGGAGACUGGAAUUCCUGGUGUAGCGGUGAAAUGCGCAGAUAUCAGGAGGAACACCGGUGGCGAAGGCGGGUCUCUGGGCCGUAACUGACGCUGAGGAGCGAAAGCAUGGGGAGCGAGCAGGAUUAGAUACCCUGGUAGUCCAUGCCGUAAACGUUGGGCGCUAGGUGUGGGGCUCAUUCCACGAGUUCCGUGCCGCAGCAAACGCAUUAAGCGCCCCGCCUGGGGAGUACGGCCGCAAGGCUAAAACUCAAAGGAAUUGACGGGGCCCCGCACAAGCGGCGGAGCAUGCGGAUUAAUUCGAUGCAACGCGAAGAACCUUACCAAGGCUUGACAUGCAGGGAAAACUCGUAGAGAUAUGAGGUCCGUAAGGGUCCUGCACAGGUGGUGCAUGGUUGUCGUCAGCUCGUGUCGUGAGAUGUUGGGUUAAGUCCCGCAACGAGCGCAACCCUCGUCUUAUGUUGCCAGCGGGUAAUGCCGGGGACUCAUAAGAGACUGCCGGGGUCAACUCGGAGGAAGGUGGGGAUGACGUCAAAUCAUCAUGCCCCUUAAGUCUUGGGCUUCACGCAUGCUACAAUGGCUGGUACAAAGGGCUGCGAGACCGCAAGGUGGAGCGAAUCCCAAAAAGCCAGUCUCAGUUCGGAUUGGGGUCUGCAACUCGACCCCAUGAAGUCGGAGUCGCUAGUAAUCGCAGAUCAGCAACGCUGCGGUGAAUACGUUCCCGGGGCUUGUACACACCGCCCGUCACGUCAUGAAAGUCGGUAACACCCGAAGCCAGUGGCCCAACCCUUGUGGAGGGAGCUGUCGAAGGUGGGACUGGCGAUUAGGACGAAGUCGUAACAAGGUA